This 254-nucleotide ribosomal RNA is filed under the name uncultured bacterium. Its description in RNAcentral is "partial 16S ribosomal RNA". It matches the Rfam family "Bacterial small subunit ribosomal RNA", at positions 524 to 776 of the family's 1533-position model. The record is from RNAcentral.
UACGUAGGGACCGAGCGUUGUUCGGAAUUACUGGGCGUAAAGGGCUCGUAGGCGGCCAACUAAGUCGGAUGUGAAAUCCCCAGGCUUAACCUGGGAACUGCAUCCGAUACUGGAUGGCUUGAAUCCGGGAGAGGGAUGCAGAAUUCCAGGUGUAGCGGUGAAAUGCGUAGAUAUCUGGAGGAAUACCGGUGGCGAAGGCGGCAUCCUGGACCGGCAUUGACGCUGAGUGAGCGAAAGCUAGGGGAGCAAACGGG